RNAcentral lists this ribosomal RNA (375 nucleotides) under uncultured eukaryote. Its description in RNAcentral is "partial 18S ribosomal RNA". It matches the Rfam family "Eukaryotic small subunit ribosomal RNA", at positions 592 to 976 of the family's 1831-position model. The record is from RNAcentral.
CAAUAGCGUAUAUUUAAGUUGUUGCAGUUAAAAAGCUCGUAGUUGGAUUUCGGUUAAGAGCGACCGGUCCGCCGUUUGGUGUGCACUGGUUGGUUUUAACUUCCUGUAGAGGACGUGCUCUGGGUUUAACGACCUGGACUCGGAGUCUACGUGGUUACUUUGAAAAAAUUAGAGUGUUCAAAGCGGGCUUACGCUUGAAUAUUUCAGCAUGGAGUAACACUAUAGGACUCCUGUCCUAUUUCGUUGGUCUCGGGACGGGAGUAAUGAUUAAGAGGAACAGUUGGGGGCAUUCGUAUUUCAUUGUCAGAGGUGAAAUUCUUGGAUUUAUGAAAGACGAACUUCUGCGAAAGCAUUUGCCAAGGAUGUUUNCAUUAA